AGAGCUAUUUCUCUUAGACCAGGUGAUCUAUGAAUAAUAUUAAAGGAAUUAUUGAUCUAUUUAUCAUCAGCAUUUUAAUGUUAGGGGCUCGUGAUCUAGUUUUUCAAGAGAUGUACGCAGCAUCCCAUUGUGUUGAGUACUAUAUAAAUACACUGUGGACAGAGAAUAUGAUAGCUUCUUCCGACGCAGACAUCAAAACCAAUUCAUCACACAGACUCAGCUCAUAUCAAAAUGAAUCAAAUGUCUGCUUUUGUUUUCACGGAACAGUUCGAUAGCUCAAAAUACCCAAAAGAAACGUGGCUGUGCCAAUUUUUGAGUGUGAAUAGCAGGUCGGAGACAAAGGUGUACAAAAAUAGUACGGAACAUGCAGAUGUGAUCUGCUUGCAGGAAAACAAAGUUGCAAUUAAAGCUGCUGAUCAAUAUGAAAUAACCUGGUACAUUUCCUGGAGCCCCUGCGAUGAAUGCGCAUUAAAAAUAAUUGAAUUUCUGGAGCAGCACCCCAAUGUGAAGCUGAAUAUCUUCGUUUCCCGGCUCUACUACCAGGAUUUAGAAUCUCAUAGGGAUGGCUUAAGAGCUCUUUCACGACAAAAAAGAAUUGGCUUAAAAGUGAUGACGAAAGAUGAUUUCCAGCACUGUUUUGAUCACUUUGUUGGAGAAGGAAAUGGAAUUCAGAGCUGGGCAGACCUUGCUGGGAACUCAGCGAGAUAUGCGGCUAUACUGAAAGAGAUAACUGGCGCUGAUCCCAGACUGGCGUUUUGAAACGCCUCCCCUGUGCGCUGCGGCUGCCUGCAUGAAACACAGCAGCAGACUUCCACUGAGAAAGAGCAGCGGAACCGACAGCGCGGGACACGGGCGUGAUCCGGACAAGCAGCAAUCUGCACUCUCUGCAUCAUCUCUUAUUAUAGACCUCACUCUGUAGCUGCAACACCACACGCUUUAAUGACAGGCUUAGACACGCCUUCUUUCAACUGUCUUUUAUUCAAUUAAGUGUCAUUCAUACCUGUUAACGUGUGGGUGUCCUUUUUUAUGUGUGUAUUUUAAACAUUUUAUGGGGUUUUGAUCGAUUAUUUCACGCAAUUAAAUCUUUUGCAAAUGAUGGAAAACUAAAUCAUUGUUUGGAGAAAAAAAAAACUUGUCUUGUUUAUUCUCACCAUGAUAUUAAAACAUUCAAACUUCAAUUUUGAAUCUAUACCUGCAUGAAAAUAAAUCUGUUGGUUAGGGGGAAAUAUUAUUAUUAUUUUUUGUUGGGAUGAUAUAUGAACUUAGCAAAACAGAAGACAGGGAGCUAGCGCUCUUGUGGUUUAAAUAUGUCACCAGAAACCCUCGAUAGAAUUAUAGCCUUAUUAUGCAAAGUUGGGUGUACAUUAUUAUUAUUAUUAUUAUUAUUAUUAUUAUUAUUAUUAUUAUUAUUAUUAGACCAUCCAUUUUUGAUGUACACAAAAUGGUUUAAAUCACUGCUGUUGAAUUAGCAGACAACUGAUCUCCUGUCUAAUGCCCUUGAUAAUGCUAUGAGCCCUUGCUAUUAUAGACGAUACUGUAGCGCACAAACGCAUUGUUUCAAUAAAGAUAUUCUAUUGUUAGAUAAUAACCUGUCUACUGAUCUCAAUAGGUGUUUGCUGUGGUUUAAAAUUCAAUAAAGUUUUUUUUUCAA
RNA transcript from Acipenser ruthenus (sterlet), 1651 nucleotides. It is a transcript of the gene named DNA dC->dU-editing enzyme APOBEC-3C-like, with no coding region annotated. Lineage: Eukaryota; Metazoa; Chordata; Actinopteri; Acipenseriformes; Acipenseridae. The record is from RefSeq and is a predicted model, not a curated record. The transcript has 4 exons.